RNAcentral lists this transfer RNA (73 nucleotides) under Gemmatimonadaceae bacterium. RNAcentral's name for it is "tRNA-Arg". It matches the Rfam family "tRNA". From Rfam's summary of the family: Transfer RNA (tRNA) molecules are approximately 80 nucleotides in length. Their secondary structure includes four short double-helical elements and three loops (D, anti-codon, and T loops). Lineage: Bacteria; Pseudomonadati; Gemmatimonadota; Gemmatimonadia; Gemmatimonadales; Gemmatimonadaceae. The record is from RNAcentral.
ACCGCCGUAACUCAGUGGACAGAGUGCCUGGCUACGAACCAGAUGGUCGGGAGUUCGAAUCUCUCCGGCGGUA